GCUCAUUAGAUGUUCUAUGUCUUAUGAUGUUUUGUUGUCUUUCUUUGGUUUCGAUAAAAAGAUUUCAAAUUUCAUUAUAGAACGCCCGAAUGAGGCAUAGAUAUGAGAUAUUUGGACUUUGGAGCCCCUAACUCUUUAUGCUAUUUAUGUUCUCACUUCUAUUUUGGAAGCCAUGGGCAUGUGAUGAUUUCUUACUUUGAAUUUCAGGUAAGAGGAAACCCACAAUUCCCA
Molecule: unclassified non-coding RNA, 231 nt
Filed under: Hevea brasiliensis (rubber tree)
Lineage: Eukaryota; Viridiplantae; Streptophyta; Magnoliopsida; Malpighiales; Euphorbiaceae
Source: RNAcentral